GCUCCCUUCAGUAGUGCAUAUUUAAAAUGAAAACAAUAGGGAGAAAACUAGCAUGGUCCCAGUGUAAGGAUGAAAUGUGAAUUCCAGAAGAAAGCAGUUGUUAU
Molecule: small nuclear RNA, 104 nt
Organism: Suncus etruscus (white-toothed pygmy shrew)
Lineage: Eukaryota; Metazoa; Chordata; Mammalia; Eulipotyphla; Soricidae
Source: RefSeq, a predicted model, not a curated record